UAACUGAAAAAUUGCUGAGUUUGGCAGAAAACAUCAAUCAAUCAAUCCCCUUCUUGCCUAGAUUUUCUCUAAUUUCGACUAAAUCCACAGCCCAUCAGAGUACCAUACAAGGGGAUUUAGACACUGGGUACCAUUAAGAAGCAAUUCAAUUCAACUUUUAUAUCUGGGGUCAUUCACUUUCCCUCAGAGUUUCAGUAUUUUCGCUGGACCCUGUAGGUUUUAACCUGAAUUUCUUCAGUAUUUGCCCUCGUGUAUAAUAUAUGCUAGGCAUAAUGCAGAUACCUACAUGAUACAUUUUUUUUCAUUACCCACUCUGCUACUCUCGCAAUGUAUAAUAAAAUAUUCGAUUCAUUUCUAACACAUGUAUGCAAUCCCUUACCAUAUCUUUAAAUAAAUUUGAGUAAAUAAAUUUAAGUGCGAAACUGUUCCAUGCUACCGUGAAACUUAGAUUUUGCUUUUUAAACAUAAACCAACAAUUCUUAAUUGUGAUUUCUUUUCUUCUUUAAAAAGGGUAUUGACAUCCCAAUAUUUAGUGGGAAGUUCCCAGGUAUCAUCCGCUAGCGACAGUCUACUGACAAAUCCAGACAUGCAUUGGAAGGAUGCUGAUAUGGAGGACACAGGAACACCUGAUCCCAGAACUGUGGCAUUUCAUUCGGGGUGACAACCUGGCUUUCAGUUGAUAUGGGACCCUAUUAUUCGGAGAACUGCAAAUUUUAUGAAGCUGUCUUUGACAGAAGAUUUGGUUUUCUCCAUCUGUGUUGCCACCAACCAUUAUGCUGAGAUGGUCAUAUCUAGGGGGAAGGGUUGCCAUAUACUUCCCAAGGAAGUUUGCACCCUCUCACUGAAGAGGAACUGUACAGAUUUUUGUGCAUUAUCUUAUACACGCCUGCUGUGAAGUUCCAGUCGAUAGACAGAUAUUGGUCAAGGCAUGCCCCUGUCGGAACAACUCGUUAUCAAGAAUUAUGUCUAGAAAUAGGUUUCAAGAGGUUGAAUAUAAGAACAUUUUUGUUAAAUAUGAUGCAAGU
Long non-coding RNA from Ostrea edulis (European flat oyster), 1025 nucleotides. RefSeq lists it as uncharacterized. The transcript has 3 exons. The record is from RefSeq and is a predicted model, not a curated record. NCBI's taxonomy places the organism in Eukaryota, Metazoa, Mollusca, Bivalvia, Ostreida, Ostreidae.